AGUGAGGAAUAUUGGACAAUGGGCGAGAGCCUGAUCCAGCCAUGCCGCGUGCAGGAAGACUGCCCUAUGGGUUGGAAACUGCUUUUAUACAGGAAGAAUAAGCCUUACGUGUAAGGUGAUGACGGUACUGUAAGAAUAAGGACCGGCUAACUCCGUGCCAGCAGCCGCGGUAAUACGGAGGGUCCGAGCGUUAUCCGGAAUUAUUGGGUUUAAAGGGUCCGUAGGCGGAUGAUUAAGUCAGGGGUGAAAGUUUGCAGCUCAACUGUAAAAUUGCCUUUGAUACUGGUCAUCUUGAGUUGUAUUGAAGUAGGCGGAAUAUGUAGUGUAGCGGUGAAAUGCAUAGAUAUUACAUAGAACACCAAUUGCGAAGGCAGCUUACUAAGUACUAACUGACGCUGAUGGACGAAAGCGUGGGUAGGGAACAGGA
This 427-nucleotide ribosomal RNA is filed under the name uncultured Bacteroidota bacterium. RNAcentral describes it as "bacterial SSU rRNA". It matches the Rfam family "Bacterial small subunit ribosomal RNA", at positions 353 to 777 of the family's 1533-position model. Lineage: Bacteria; Pseudomonadati; Bacteroidota. The record is from RNAcentral.